This is a non-coding RNA of Pelodiscus sinensis (Chinese soft-shelled turtle), 525 nucleotides long. Lineage: Eukaryota; Metazoa; Chordata; Testudines; Trionychidae. The record is from RefSeq and is a predicted model, not a curated record.
UCAGCUGGCAUGGCAACCUGCAAAGAGGGCUGAAGACCCAGGUCAGGGUAAAAGAGUCUCUGACUUGAAGAUUAUGCCUAGAACAAGAACAGCUUUUAGAGUUUGUAAAUGGUGUCCACAACAAAUUGGAUGUUCCAGUGGCAUAUGUGACCGACAAGAGGUUUCACCCAAUAUCCAUUGAAGUCAUGUCAAGUCUUUUCAUGGACUUCAGCAGGCUUUGGAUCAAGUCCCAAGUUAUUUUCUACCAUGUAUCACACCAGUGCACCUCAGGUCAGGAAAUAAGAUCUCUGCAACUCCAUCUAAAUACUUUCCUGAAAGAGUAGCUACAACACUAAGUAAAACAAAGAUUUUUUUGUUCAUUACUCAGUUUAUGGCCACAAUGCAAGGAAAAUACCGUUUGGGCCCUUGCCAGGCACAAAGUGAAGCAAAACUGGUCUUGGGACUGUGUUCCAGUGACAGCUGUGCCGGAUUACCUUUCUUCCAAAAAAAGAUAUUUUAACAUGGAAAAUAAAGGAGAGAUGUCUG